RNAcentral lists this ribosomal RNA (428 nucleotides) under Acidobacteriota bacterium. RNAcentral describes it as "Acidobacteria bacterium partial 16S ribosomal RNA". It matches the Rfam family "Bacterial small subunit ribosomal RNA", at positions 355 to 776 of the family's 1533-position model. The record is from RNAcentral. Lineage: Bacteria; Pseudomonadati; Acidobacteriota.
UGGGGAAUUUUGGACAAUGGGGGAAACCCUGAUCCAGCCAUCCCGCGUGUGCGAUGAAGGCCUUCGGGUUGUAAGCACUUUUGGCAGGAAAGAAACGUCAUGGGUUAAUACCCCGUGAAACUGACGGUACCUGCAGAAUAAGCACCGGCUAACUACGUGCCAGCAGCCGCGGUAAUACGUAGGGUGCAAGCGUUAAUCGGAAUUACUGGGCGUAAAGCGUGCGCAGGCGGUUCGGAAAGAAAGAUGUGAAAUCCCAGAGCUCAACUUUGGAACUGGAUUUUUAACUACCGGGCUAGAGUGUGUCAGAGGGAGGUGGAAUUCCGCGUGUAGCAGUGAAAUGCGUAGAGAUGCGGAGGAACACCGAUGGCGAAGGCAGCCUCCUGGGAUAACACUGACGCUCAUGAACGAAAGCGUGGGGAGCAAACAGG